Molecule: transfer RNA, 76 nt
Filed under: Amycolatopsis sp.
Lineage: Bacteria; Bacillati; Actinomycetota; Actinomycetes; Pseudonocardiales; Pseudonocardiaceae
Also listed under: 6 other names
Description: tRNA-Lys
Rfam family: tRNA
About the family: Transfer RNA (tRNA) molecules are approximately 80 nucleotides in length.
Source: RNAcentral
GCGCCAAUAGCUCAACUGGCAGAGCAGCUGACUCUUAAUCAGCGGGUUCGGGGUUCGAGUCCCUGUUGGCGCACCA